This 139-nucleotide small nucleolar RNA is filed under the name Ornithorhynchus anatinus (platypus). The record is from RNAcentral. Lineage: Eukaryota; Metazoa; Chordata; Mammalia; Monotremata; Ornithorhynchidae.
UCCUUUCUUAGGAUCACACCUGGAGAGUUUCCAGUACUCUACCAGUCUCGGCUAUGGAAGGGAGAGUCAAGCAGAGGCAUACCCAUUCCAUUCCUAGCUUGGGCAGUGGCUAGCAAGUGGAAGGCAAUCUGCUACAAGU